CCCUUAGAUGUUCUGGGCAGCACGCGCGCUACAAUGGUCUUCGCAAACGGAUGCAUUCUCGAAGGAGAAUGCCAAUCUUGGAAUCUAUGCCUUGGUCGGGACAGUUGCUUGCAAUUUUUCGACUCGAACCAGGAAUUCCUUGUAAUCGUGAUUCAUCACAUCACGAUGAAUACGUCCCUGCCCUUUGUACACACCGCCCGUCGCUCCUACCGAUCGAGUGAUCCGGUGAAUAAUUCGGACUGCAGCACUGCUUGGUCUCCAGGCUUUGCAGCGGAAAGUUUAGUGAACCUUAUCACUUAGAGGAAGGAGAAGUCGUAACA
Molecule: ribosomal RNA, 320 nt
Filed under: uncultured eukaryote
Lineage: Eukaryota
Description: partial 18S ribosomal RNA
Rfam family: Eukaryotic small subunit ribosomal RNA
Source: RNAcentral